AUGCACGGCUCCAGUUGCCGGAUGGGUUCUUGUUCUCAAGUCGCGCCCACCACCAAAGUGGCCUCCUGGCCUGGCACAGCCGACCAGCCCCACCAGGAAAUCCGGGACUGGACCUGGGCAGAACAGAAUGGCUAUCCUCCAGAGUUUAGACAACUGGUCCACACUGAAGACAUUGUUUCUGAAAGAGUUCCCAUGACAACCUCCCUCUUCAAGGGUAUAGAGAAUUUAUUCAAAGUCAGAUACAGACUGGCCAAACCACCUUCUACAAAGCGGACAGGAAAAAAGAGCCUACAGAAAAGGUAGGAGUUGUUAUAAAAUUGCCUUAAUUCCGCUCUCUCUGCGUUACAAGCCGGGGGUGGGUAGUGGACUGCCGUGCUGUGUGCUCCA
Molecule: long non-coding RNA, 387 nt
Filed under: Sus scrofa (pig)
Lineage: Eukaryota; Metazoa; Chordata; Mammalia; Artiodactyla; Suidae
Description: lncRNA (ENSSSCG00015057435.1)
Source: RNAcentral